This 497-nucleotide ribosomal RNA is filed under the name uncultured bacterium. RNAcentral describes it as "partial 16S ribosomal RNA". It matches the Rfam family "Bacterial small subunit ribosomal RNA", at positions 28 to 507 of the family's 1533-position model. The record is from RNAcentral.
GAUGAACGCUGGCGGCGUGCCUAAUACAUGCAAGUCGAGCGAACAGACGAGGAGCUUGCUCCUCUGACGUUAGCGGCGGACGGGUGAGUAACACGUGUAUAACCUACCUAUAAUACUGGGAUAACUUCGGGAAACCUGAGCUAAUACCGGAUAACAUCUUGAACCUCAUGGUUCAACAGUGAAAGACGUUCUUGCUGUCACUUAUUGAUUGAUCCGCGCCGCAUUAGCUAGUUGGUAAGGUAACGGCUUACCAAGGCAACGAUGCGUAGCCGACCUGAGAGGGUGAUCGGCAACACUGGAACUGAGACACGGUCCAGACUCCUACGGGAGGCAGCAGUAGGGAAUCUUACGCAAAGGGCGAAAACCUGACGGAGCAACGCCGCGUGAGUGAAGAAGGUCUUCGGAUCGUAAAACUCUGUUAUUAGGGAAGAACAAAUGUGUAAGUAACUAUGCACGUCUUGACGGUACCUAAUCAGAAAGCCACGGCUAACUACGUG